AGGUAAAACUAUGAGAAACUCUAUGACCUAAGCAAGCUUGUAUGUCAAUAGAGCCCUCAAAUAUUUGCAUGAAUAAAAUUCGAUACAUUAUUUCUCUGUACAUUCAUAUAUUUACACAACAAUAUCUUAAUAACUAUUAUCCGAGAUGACGCCAGAGUGUGAACUCCGACAUGGCCAGGAAUCUUCUCACAACAAGUCAAAUGCGAAAAGUGAAAAAUACCGACCAUCACCCCCCACAGAGGAUGCCACACAAAUUGACUGAAUUCUCCAUUACAUAUUUUUUGAGCUCACUUCUAUACUUCCUGCUCCUCGUAUUGAUGUUGCUUUUCAAAUAUAUGGGUAGAUGGCUGUAGAGCUUAGGACCAUGAUAAAGUGAACUGUGUAGAA
Long non-coding RNA from Harmonia axyridis, 387 nucleotides. RefSeq lists it as uncharacterized. The record is from RefSeq and is a predicted model, not a curated record. NCBI's taxonomy places the organism in Eukaryota, Metazoa, Arthropoda, Insecta, Coleoptera, Coccinellidae. The transcript has 2 exons.